RNAcentral lists this unclassified non-coding RNA (283 nucleotides) under Hevea brasiliensis (rubber tree). The record is from RNAcentral. Lineage: Eukaryota; Viridiplantae; Streptophyta; Magnoliopsida; Malpighiales; Euphorbiaceae.
AGAGAGCGAAAACCAAGAGAAAAUAAAAAAAAAAAAUUGAAUACAUUUUCAAUUCCUAUAAUUGCUACUCCAAUUUCAAUUCCUGGGAUUUGAUCGCUUGCCUCUUUCAAAUUCUCUCAUUUCCUCUGCAUCCCUUCACGGGGAUCACAUGCAGAGGAUCAUACUCACAGGCCAUUUCUUUAUUUCUUGAAUCCAUAUAUUUACGUCAUAUACAUUCACAUAUAUAUAUAUAGUUACACACUAUCUUGUACGCAACUGGGAAUUGGGUUUCUUGAGAUUUGGA